GGCGCACAUGGAGGUUCAGGACAAGAUGGAAGAGAAUGCUUAUCACAAAGCUGGUGACAGAGCAGGGGCUGGGGAGGGGCCGCUGCACAGGUCCAUGAUGAAGUCUUUUUGAUGUUGAACCAUUGGCAUUCAGCAGUGAUGAAGAAGACGGUGUCUCAAGAAGCUCUGGAUCUUGACCCGCCAUCUGCCAGCGUCCCUGCCCUACUUUCUUACUCAGAAAUGGAAACAUAAGCCCUAUAGUGAGCCAUAAUAUGGGAUCAAUGCCACCUCUUCCAUGUGGGUGGCAUUGACCGUCCCUCAUAUUAUGGUUCCUUAUAGGACUCUGUUCUUUAUAGGACAUCCUGCAGUGAUUUAAAGGUGGCUCAUGCCUGUAAUUCCAGCACUUUGGGAGGCCGAGACGGGCAGAUCAUGAGGUCAGGAGAUCAAGACCAUCCUGGCUAACACGGUGAAACCUCGUCUCUACUAAAAACACAAAAAAUUAGCCGGGUGUGGUGGCGUGCGCCUGUAAUCCCAGCUACUCGGGAGGCUGAGGCAGGAGAAUUGCUUGAACCUGGGAGGUUUCAACCCGCCACUGCAUUCCAACCUAGGCAACAGAGUAAGACUCUAUCUCAAAAAAAAAAAAAGCAUCUAUUUCUUCAUUAUCUCAUUAUCCUCAUCACAUGAAUAAGUAAUAUCCAUUCCCACAGGAGGUGGAUGGCAUCUUUCCUGAGAAGUGGGCACUAGAAAAUAGAUCAGCCAUGCAGUGGACUCUUAGGAUGGGAUCAUCCCCAGCAGGGCAUUGGAGGCAUUGGAGGCAUUGAUUUCAACAAGGUAAGGCCAAGUUGGAUUGACGCAUACCAGGAAAAGGACAUGAUUUCUGUUUAUGUUUUGAGCAUCUUCUCUUUUGAAUGGUUUUCCUGCUAAAAAUAACACAUGCUCAUUGCAGAAAAUCUAGAAGGUUCAGAAGGGUGUGAAGAGACACCCCAUCCAGAAAUAAACACUGUUAAUAUUUUUCCUAUUCAAUUAUUAUUUGAAGUCAUAUUGAAGAUAUGAUUUAUUUUGGUUUUCUUUGC
This 1052-nucleotide long non-coding RNA is filed under the name Homo sapiens (human). RNAcentral's name for it is "non-protein coding lnc-TTC26-9:1". Lineage: Eukaryota; Metazoa; Chordata; Mammalia; Primates; Hominidae. The record is from RNAcentral.